RNAcentral lists this ribosomal RNA (301 nucleotides) under uncultured bacterium. RNAcentral describes it as "partial 16S ribosomal RNA". It matches the Rfam family "Bacterial small subunit ribosomal RNA", at positions 509 to 808 of the family's 1533-position model. The record is from RNAcentral.
CAGCAGCCACGGUAAUACGUAGGUCCCGAGCGCUGACCGGAUUUAUUGGGCGUAAAGCGAGCGCAGGCGGUUAGAUAAGUCUGAAGUUAAAGGCUGUGGCUUAACCAUAGUACGCUUUGGAAACUGUUUAACUUGAGUGCAGAAGGGGAGAGUGGAAUUCCAUGUGUAGCGGUGAGAUGCGUAGAUAUAUGGAGGAACACCGGUGGCGAAAGCGGCUCUCUGGUCUGUAACUGACGCUGAGGCUCGAAAGCGUGGGGAGCAAACAGGAUUAGAUACCCCAGUAGUCCCUGUCUCUUAUACA